This 434-nucleotide ribosomal RNA is filed under the name uncultured bacterium. Its description in RNAcentral is "bacterial SSU rRNA". It matches the Rfam family "Bacterial small subunit ribosomal RNA", at positions 958 to 1392 of the family's 1533-position model. The record is from RNAcentral.
AACGCGAAGAACCUUACCUAGUCUUGACAUCCCAUUGGCCGGCACGUAAUGGUGCCUUUCCUUCGGGACAAUGGUGACAGGUGGUGCAUGGUUGUCGUCAGCUCGUGUCGUGAGAUGUUGGGUUAAGUCCCGCAACGAGCGCAACCCCUAUCUUUAGUAGCCAGCAGGUUAAGCUGGGCACUCUAGAGAGACUGCCAGGGAUAACCUGGAGGAAGGCGGGGAUGACGUCAAAUCAUCAUGCCCCUUAUGACUAGGGCUACACACGUGCUACAAUGGCGUAAACAAAGGGAGGCGAAGCCGUGAGGUGGAGCGAAUCCCAAAAAUAACGUCUCAGUUCGGAUUGUAGUCUGCAACUCGACUACAUGAAGCUGGAAUCGCUAGUAAUCGCGAAUCAGAAUGUCGCGGUGAAUACGUUCCGGGUCUUGUACACACCG